UACGAAGGGGGCUAGCGUUGCUCGGAAUCACUGGGCGUAAAGCGCACGUAGGCGGACUCUUAAGUCAGGGGUGAAAUCCUGGAGCUCAACUCCAGAACUGCCUUUGAUACUGGGAGUCUUGAGUUCGGGAGAGGUGAGUGGAACUGCGAGUGUAGAGGUGAAAUUCAUAGAUAUUCGCAAGAACACCAGUGGCGAAGGCGGCUCACUGGCCCGAUACUGACGCUGAGGUGCGAAAGCGUGGGGAGCAAACAGG
RNAcentral lists this ribosomal RNA (253 nucleotides) under uncultured bacterium. Its description in RNAcentral is "partial 16S ribosomal RNA". It matches the Rfam family "Bacterial small subunit ribosomal RNA", at positions 524 to 776 of the family's 1533-position model. The record is from RNAcentral.